AUUGAACGCUGGCGGAAUGCUUUACACAUGCAAGUCGAACGGUAGAGGGGGCAACCCCUUGAGAGUGGCGAACGGGUGAGUAAUAUAUCGGAACGUGCCCAGUCGUGGGGAUAACGUAGCGAAAGUUACGCUAAUACCGCAUACGAUCUAAGGAUGAAAGCGGGGGACUCGCAAGAGCCUCGCGCGAUUGGAGCGGCCGAUAUCAGAUUAGGUAGUUGGUGGGGUAAAGGCUCACCAAGCCAACGAUCUGUAGCUGGUCUGAGAGGACGACCAGCCACACUGGGACUGAGACACGGCCCAGACUCCUACGGGAGGCAGCAGUGGGGAAUUUUGGACAAUGGGCGCAAGCCUGAUCCAGCAAUGCCGCGUGCAGGAUGAAGGCCUUCGGUUGUAACUGCUUUGUUACGGAACGAAACGGUACGAGGCUCUAAUACAGUUUG
Molecule: ribosomal RNA, 440 nt
Filed under: uncultured bacterium
Lineage: Bacteria
Description: bacterial SSU rRNA
Rfam family: Bacterial small subunit ribosomal RNA
Source: RNAcentral